ACACCUCCACCUGGUUAGGGUAACUGCCUGCCACCAAGGGGUCGCCUCUUUUAAAAAAAAAUUCCCAAUAGAACACCUUCCCCCAAUUGCCUUCCCCCCAAAAACAAAGGUUCCCUUCACCUCACCUCAAUUGGCCUCUUUCCCCCGCCACUGCUAAAGGUCUUCCCCCCAAUUAGCACUUUUCAAAAAGAGUAUUUCCCUCCCUCCCCACAAAUUGGCUUUUCUGCCCCUAAAAAAACUUUUUGCCCCUUUCUAGCCUUCCUCCUAAAGUCUCCCACCAAGGUUUUAAUAUAUCUCAGCAAUGCAAAGGCCGUGUUCAAGCCAGGCCUCGCAGCAGGUUGCUAGGCAGAGGUGGGGGAGACUGGGGCCAGGUGCAGGUGGCUGUGCUUGUGGCUGUGGGGCCCAGAGGACAAGGAAGACAGCAAGACCCUGAAGAUACUCCAGUCCUCCCUAUCCAUGAAUUUUUUGGCCCAGCUGAGUCAUUGGUGCGCAGACUGGACUACGUCCCCCAGCCUGCUGCCGGUGCCGGUGCCGGCUGAGGCCAAGGCACUAGGAGACCUGUGGUGGCGGGUCCCUCGGCGGCAGUGCAAGGUGCUGGUGCACCACCAGUGGUGGUGGUGGAGACUGGUGGUGCAGGGGAACAGGCAGAGGGCAGGGAGGAAAUGAUGGCUGCAGGCAGUGCAACCAGAUUCUCCCUCCCUCUUGGGGCCUUUCUCCCUAUUAUUUCACUGCUCAGUCGAGCUCCCCCCCCCCGAUGAAGCCCAGGUAGUUGUGGUGGGGUCCAGUGAUGGGUCCUCCCACUCUGGCUCUGGCGAGGAAGGGUCUGCUGAUGUGGUGGUGGAGAAGAGGCCUCAGCCUGCCUCUCCUCCUCUGCCAGUGCAGCCGGGCUCUUCCUCCUGCACGCAGGGAAGAAAUGGGACAGUGGUGGGUAGGCAGCGGCAGCCGCCCUCCCAUAGGACCGCAGUCACCCAGGAAGAGGCAAAAGAAGGGGGCCUCUCAGGGCAGCAGUGUCUGGUGGCAUUUUGAGGUGCCUGAAAAUGCCCCGACCUAUGCCUGUUGUGUCCACUGCAGGGAACAGGUCAGCCAGGGCAAGGAAGUCAAACACUUAGGGAUGACACCCAUGUGGCAACAUAUGGAGCGUCAUCACCUAGCUCUCCUUGGCCCCGCUGGAAGUGCUUGUGCACCCCAUGUUCCUGCCAGUAGGGUGGACAAGGGCAGUGUGCCAGCCAAAAAGCAGGCUACACUGCCAGUCCAGCAGUGGACACAGGUGUCGGGUAGCAAGUGGACUGUUCAUGUGGACCAUCAUCAUCUCACUCGCCUCAUAGGGAGAUGAUUUCCACUGAUGACCAGGUGGUCGAGAACUCCAGUUUCCACUGGAUUCUCCAGUACCUUGUUCCUGACUACAAGAUCCCCUCAAGGACCAGCCGGAACAUAGUCCCCUCCCUUUACCACCGAUGCAGAGAGCUUGUGUCAGCCAGGCUGCAUGUGGCCCCAGCUGGCACCAGCGUGCAUUUCACGACUGACCUCUGGACCAGUGUCAGUGGAAUGCACGCUGCUUUCCUAGCCCUCACUGCCCACUGCUGGGGCCCAGAGAGAGGGGGGACCUUCAUGGGCACUGCCUCUGGAUCCAGAGCAUUUCCUGCUGCACUAGGGUACAGGUGGGCAGUUCUGCAUGUGGGGACCAUGGGCACAAGGCACACCAUGGAGGAGGUGGUGGCUGUACUUGGCCGCCAGAUAGAGGAGUGGAUUGGUGGGUGUCCACACCUUUUCUGGGGCUUCAUUGUCACAGACAAUGGCUCCAACAUUACCACCGCUGUCAAGAUAGUCAUGGGCUGUGUGAACAUACAGUGUAUGGCACACAUACUCCAUCUGGCUGUCUGGGAUGCCCUCGGCCAUUGGGAGCUGAAGGCAUCCAAGCAUCAGCCCUGCCCCGCCCCUGCCAAGUGCUGCUGUUGCCACGGCCACACUUGUCGAGAAGGCUCGCAAUCUGGCUGGCCAUUUGCACCGCAGCAAGAAGUCCAGGUGCCUGCUUCACGAGAAGCAGGCCGACCUCGGGAUUCCCCGCCAUCUCAUCCCAACAUCCGUAGAGACGCAGUGGAACUCCACCUUCCUCCUUUUCCAGCACCUGCUGGAGCAGGAGAGAGCCCUUGGCGCUUUGGCGAGGGAUGGGUCCUUGGCUGACUGCAACCUCUCAAAUGCAGAGUGGAAGCAGAUGUCUGAGGCAGUGUUGGCUCUCGAGCCCUUCCAGCUUGCCAUGAAGGGCUUGUGUGGCGACACCACUCCCUUGAGCCAGGCGCUGCCCACAGCUCUGGGUCUUGAGAAGCUGAUGGGCAAACUCCAGACUUCUCUGACCAUGCCAGAGUGUCGUGCUCUGGCUGGAAGGCUGAAAUCUGGGGUGGCCAAGUGGCUUGUUGGUGAGUUGGGUAGCAGGGAGGAGUAUGUCCUUGCUUGUCUCUGCGACCCAACCAUCAAGGGCAAUGUCAUAAGUGUCGAUGACUUGCCCGGGUGGAGAGACCUCGUGGUCCAGAAAGUUAGGAAGCAGGAGGUCAUUAGGACCAGAAGAGACCAGGAGGGUGGUGGUGGUGCGGGUGCGACUCCCUCCGAGCAACCCACAUCUAGCGGCAGUUUGGGCGGCCAGGCAGCAUUGGCUACCCCUUUCCCUUCCUCUUCCCAGUCCAGCACCGUGGCAUCCCAGGCAGCAGCGCCAAUGCAGCAGGCACUUCCUCCCACCGUGAAAUCCGCCCAGUGGUUUCAGCCGGUAUGUCUUGGCACCUUGCCUGGUGUGUGGGAGGCUUGACCUGCCAUGCCCUCCAGUGCUGAGCAAUGCGUUGCCCAGUACUUGGAAGAGCCUGUGGAGAAAGACACCUUGAUGGACCAUGUGCAGUUCUGGGUGACCCACUGCCAAGUCUGGCCGGACCUGGCAGUGGUUGCUGUGCACCUCCUGUCCUGCCCGCCAACCAGUGUCCAGAGCGAGUGGGUGUUUUCGCGUGCUGGGGACGUGGUAACACCUGCUCAGUCCUGGUUGGACACUGGUCUGGUGGAGCAGUUGGUUUUCCUGAAGGUCAUCCUCCCCUUGCUGGGCUACCCCAAGGUGCAGGUUGAGUUGGGUGAGUGAUUACUGUGGUUGCCCCAUGGUUGGUCACCUGCCUAGCUCAUCCUCUGCUCAUCUCUCCCCUCCCCUCCCCGCUUCCACCUCUAGAUGAGCUGACGUGACAGAUGACUGAGCCGUGCCAGCUAAGUCACAGCAUGCCCACUACUAGUGCUGCGACUGGCCCAAUGUUGAUACACCCCGCCCGCGCCCACUUAAGAAACCCAAUGCUGACCAUAAGCCCCUAUCUCUUCUCACUUGUCAGCAUUUGGGGGCCUGGCGUCACACACACACACAAGUAACACAGCCCCAUAAUAAUAUUAGACUAGCCGCAGUGGCGGCUGCCUACAUGUUUUGUAAAUAUGUAAAUAAUAAAUUUUAAAAUGUUAAUCAACCCUCUAAACAUAUCAAAAAUCAUAUUUGAAAAUGAUGACUCACAAAAGUAUUGAUUUUGAAAAAUAUGGAAACCAAGAAAUCAUGUGGAGUUGAUUUGAAUGUUUAAUAACUUUUAAAAGCUGUAUGAAUUCUCAUGGUGAUUAUGGUUUUAUUGUUGAUGUUGACUGAUGGAAACAAAUCUUAAGUAUAGAACUUGUCAACACAACAUAUUGAUUGAUUGUCUUAAAUGGGUUCUUUGGGGGAGGGGAGGGAAUUGGGUCUGUGUAAUUCAGUUUCACUGUGCUUGUACUUGUCUUGAGAGAAAGGUGUGUGUUUGUGUGUAGGUUGUUUCUGUUGUGUGUGCGUGUCUGUGUGGAUGGAUGCUAGCACUGUCUUUGUGGAUGGAUGCUUGCUGUAGUGUAGUGUCUGUCUGUGUCUGCAUUCCCCCCCUCCCUUCCCCUCUCAUCCCUCCCUCCCUUCCCUCAUCCAUCCCUCCAUCCUCUUCAUCACCAUUCCAUCCUCCCCUCCACACCCACCUGCCCCAACCUGGUCUGGCAAGAUGAUGAGAACUGGCCUCCCACCAAAGCACACAUCAUGUGUGUAUAUGUGUGGCAUCCGACCUACUCUGAGCUGGACCUCCUCUCCCUUCAAUCCCUUCUGAAACCCCCUCCCCUCCCCUCCUGCUUCCCCUCUCCUAGCUAGCUAGCAACGCACACACAACCCCACACAAACACAAACACGCAUGCACACUGGUGCCACCACCUGCCUGGGGCCUCUGUGUCCUAGAGCAAAUAUGUGGUGGACCAGACACAGAGGCAUUUCUUUCCCCAAGCAAGGCAAAAGGCAUGCACUGCACACCCAAAGAGAAGACACUAGACAAGCAGAAGAAAACUAGAAAGUAGAACUAGUGAACCAGCAGAUGCCAAAUCAUAUCAAAGGCUAAGGACGCUCAGGCAGUGGAAUAUCGUGACUACCAUCCAGAGUGUCAUCAGAUCAAGGGUUAGGCAAAUAUGGCUCUCCAGCUAUUGUUAAACUAAAACUUCCAUCAUUCCUUGGCAGUCAACUGGCAGACACUCUCCAAAGACUCAGGCAGAGAACUUCCUCAGACCUUUUGUUGGAAUUGGAUCUGAGUCAAUCAAAAGCACAAAAAGAACAUAGGGACACAGCUUUGGGUUUUAUUUUCCUGCACAGCAACAUCAGCUGUUGGACGUCAAAAAGGCUUUAGUCUAACCGCAUCAUAAACACCAUCGCUACUCUGAGAGAGCCUUAGCUCUCCUCAGUAGCAUGUUGAGUACCAUCUGACCUGAGGGGCCCAUCAUCCAGCACUACAUCGACAAUCACUCUAUUUUGUCUAUCCAUGUGGUUUUCUUGGUAAAAUACAGGAGUGAUUUACCAUUGCCUUCUCCCACGCAGUAUGAAAUGAUGCCUUUGUCAUUGUCACUGAAGUAAUCAUCUGCCUCCAUCACCUUCCUAUAUCGCUGCUGCCCAAUAUAGGUGCCUGCUUGCUUGGUGGAAUAAUUGAGGGAAAAUGCAAUCAAUUGAGUGUGGGAACAAGAGAGGACAACACAAAUGAACAAGUGAAUGCUUUCGCAAACCAUGCUGAACAUUGUUGAAAAGGACAGCCUUUUCUGAUACACCAUAAAAUGUUUCCAAAGUGUAAUGAGUAUUUCCAGCUCAGCCCUGCAUAUAUCAGCAUGAAACAGUAUCAAAUCUGACACUCCAUAUGACAAACAUUAUGCCAAAAUUAUGGAAAAUAUUAACAAAUUAAGAACUUGUUUACAAAACUUCUUGGAAUCUAAGCACAACAUUUGACUAGUUUCUCUGCAGCAGUUGGCUUUCUACCUGUUGCUUUAUUGAUCAGGAACUGCAUAAACUACAAAGUGUUCCAGAUUUUAUUUUCUGAGGAUGAUUUUUUUUAAAAAAAUAAAAAUAAAAAUGUUUAUUUCCAAGAUUCCUGGGAUGACUUGAUACAGUAUUUAACGAGCAGGCUGGAAAUGUUUUUAUGUAUCACCUCUAAGUAAGAUGUUGGUAAUUUAAAAGCCUUUCCCUGACUUCCUUUCUUUCACAGCCUCCUCUGACCAUAAGCCCCUGGCACUGGCAGAGGUUGACAAGAGGGUGAAGCAAGGGGGAAUAAAAGGAGGAAGAGACUACAGUUGGAAAAACACUAAUGAGGGGAAGCUUGCAGCUGCCUGAAUUGCUGGUAGCCAUGCAGAUGUUAGUGAUAGAUGCCUCAUGAAAGCCACAGAUAGUCAGAGGGUGCUUCUCAAAGUGUAGAGGAGCCUCCAGGGAAGGAAUGAAGCACACAGAGGGAUUGACCCCCCCCCCCCGCACCUUAUCUGAGAGGUAUACAUGCUGAGAAGGAGUCUACUGUAACUCCUAUCAUGUUUUCCCCACCCUUGCUUCUUACUGGUAGUUUAUUUAGCCUUAUGAGACUGGGAAAGCCAGUCGUGAAAUCCGUUGAGGGGAAAUAUGGUCUUUCCACAUUUCUUCGGAAAAUGCUUAUGGUCCAGGCCAAUGGUGGCCAGCCAUUUAACAAAUCUGUCACACAUCAGGCAUAAGUACUCUUUUGUGCAUUAGGAUAGCACAAUGCUGCCAGCUGCCUCAGGGUUUAUUCUGCUUCUGAUCUACUGUGCUAGUGUAGCCUGAUUUGGCAUCAAAGCCUCCUGUUCCUAUUUAAGAAUACCAGAGACCUGUGCCUCUUUUAGCAACCAUGCCUCUGGUUGGUCAGCAAUGGCCUGGAAUGUCUGUGUAAUGUCCAGAAAAAUCUUCUAAAGCUCAGUAAUUCAAUAAAUAGAUUGUCGGCAACUGGAACAAGCUAAUAAUGAAAAGUUUUUGAACCUUUUCUACUUUUUAAGUUCUGUUUCAUUUUUUUUUAAUGUGGACAGGCAAAUAUAAAUUGCCUGUGUCCAUUCACAUUUAUUUUGUUUUGUUAUUUUGGUUUGCUAUGACUGGUUAGUUACAAAAAUAAAAGGCACUUUGUUGUACAACUCCAUACCUUAAGAACAGUGGCGGCUGGUGCGGGAACAGCCAGCAGGGUGGCGGGAAGCACCUUUAAGUGAACAUUAGUAGGUGCUUACCUCCCGUACCUCCUGAAAGCUCUUCUCAGCAGCAGCAUGCCACCCAUCACCUGCUGCUGGCCUUCACACAUGUGCAGAGGCCAUUUGCUGGCCAGACAAAUGGCCUCCACCAGCUGAGUGGUGGAGCUGAUCCAUCGCCGCAGUGAGUGCUGGGUGGCACACUGUUGCUGAGAAGAGCUUUCAGAUGUGGUGGUACGGGAGGUAAGUACCUACUAAUUUAAAGGUGCCUCCCGCCACUACCCCUGGCGACGCCCACAUCAGCUGCCACUCCUCCAGAAUUUUUCACAGAUCUUCCUCUCCUAAUGCAAUUCCACCUGAUGGGGAGCUUGUAAUCAGCUUUCCUCAUGAGAAGAAGUAUUCCACAAGAGUUGACAACAGAGUUGGUGUCAAUUCCUGGUGACCACAAAGCCAUGUGGUUGUCUUUGGUAGAAUACAGGAGGGGUUUACUAUCGCCAUCUCCCACACAGUAUGAGAUUAUGCCUUUCAGUACCUUCCCAUAUCGCUGCUGCCCAAUAUAGGUGUCUCCCAUAGUCUGGGAAACAUACCAGCAGGGAUUCACACCAGCAACCUCUUGCUCCCUAGGCAAGUUACUUCCCUGCUGCACCUUAAUUUGAUAAAUGUUGUCCCUUCCCCCCUGACCAUACAACAGAAGAUUCUAUUUUGAGUAUUUGCUGCUGUAGGGAAGUGUGUAUUAAACUCUGGCUAAGUAGGCACUAAUGCUGACACGGAGUCAUCUGCCUUCCAGUCCUCUCUGGGAAACUGAGUUCUAUAGAGAUCAGAGAAAAUGGCUACAGAGUUCCAGGACCCUUAAACUUACAUAUCGUUUAAGAACAUAAGUAGUUAUUCAAAUGUAGUCAUGCUUGUUUUAGCCAGAGGAGGUACUUCUCAUGUACUUUUGUGCAAAUUAUCAUUGGGUAUUCUUAAUAAAAACAAAUUUCUAAUACUGAAAUUGCUGGCCACCACUUUAAACAGCAGCGAAGUCACACAGAUAGGAAACCAAACCAUGCCAAUAUUAAAUCUUUGAAAAAAUAUCUCAUCUAUUGUAUAUUUUGAAGACUUUGUGUAAAAUAAGGUGAUACUUCCCAAUUACCUAAGGUAAAAUGUGCCAUCAAGCUAAUUUUGACUCCUGGCGGCCACAGAGCCCUGUGGUUUUCUUUGGUAGAAUACAGGAGGGGUUUACCAUUGCCUCCUCCCAUGCAGUAUGAGAAGAUGCCUUUCAGCAUCUUCCUAUAUCACUGCUGCCCGAUAUAGUACCAGUGGGGAUCGAACUGGCAACCUUCUGCUUGCUAGUCAAGCAUUUCACCACUGCUCCACUUACGGUGGGGUCCAAAUUACCUACAGAUACCAAAUUAUGCAUAUACAAUACUACCACUUAAAUGCGCUACUUUUACACUAGGAUAUACUGGGUGAAAGCUUUAUUUGUUUGUUUGUAUUUUUGAGCAGAAAUGCUGAAUAUAAUGAUUAUAUUUUAACUGUUAUUGUUCUCGACAGAUUUUUAACUCUAAAUACCCAUAUCAAUAAUUCAAAAAUUACAUCAUGCCCAAGAGAAGAAAAUCCUUCUAGAUUCAAAUUUAUUGUGAUUCAAAUUUACAAUGUAUGGUAAUUAUUUAAUAAAAUGAAUAAUGUUUGGAGUUGAAAUCCUAUGAAUGUCAAACUGUCCUUUUACUUCCUUUUUGCAAGCACAAUAAAAUUCUAUGACAGAUAUUUAAUUUCUUGAAAUUUCAUGGCAGUGUAAUCUACACAAAAUGACUUUGCCCGGUCAAUAACGGACCUCACCUACUAGUAUUCUCUAUUUUUUAUAUUCGCAUCAAAUAUUCGAUGCAAGUGAACAAAUUACCACAAAACCCAUGCUGCUUGCCCAACUUCCUUAUGGUUUUGAUGCUGUUCAUCAUCGAGGACCUUUCUUAAUUCUCUAAUCUGUGGUUAAUCUAUUCCAUAGCCCAAUCCUAGGCAAAUUUACUCAGAAGUAAGACUUGUGCUUGGUAGCCAUUAACUGCAGUGUUUGAACCAAGACUGUAUUAUAUUUGCCUUGAUCUUUUAGCAUGCAUGAAAUUAUAGAUGUAUUAAUAGUUUUCAAGUGUACCUUUUCUGUAUACAUCACACUUUCAGUAACUAUUGGCUCAAAUAUGUGAAGCAAUGUUGUAGUUUUGUGUAGGAUUACUUCACAAAUAUGUGAAGAAAUGUUGUAUUCCCAAAUUAUUGGUAGGAAUAGGUAAACAGUAAAGGACCAAU
This is a long non-coding RNA of Hemicordylus capensis (graceful crag lizard), 8772 nucleotides long. RefSeq lists it as uncharacterized. NCBI's taxonomy places the organism in Eukaryota, Metazoa, Chordata, Lepidosauria, Squamata, Cordylidae. The record is from RefSeq and is a predicted model, not a curated record. The transcript is spliced from 5 exons.